UUUAGCGGCGGACGGGUGAGUAACACGUGGGCAACCUGCCCUGCAGAUCGGGAUAACUCCGGGAAACCGGUGCUAAUACCGAAUAGUUUGCGGCCUCUCCUGAGGCUGCACGGAAAGACGGUUUCGGCUGUCACUGCAGGAUGGGCCCGCGGCGCAUUAGCUAGUUGGUGGGGUAAUGGCCCACCAAGGCGACGAUGCGUAGCCGACCUGAGAGGGUGAUCGGCCACACUGGGACUGAGACACGGCCCAGACUCCUACGGGAGGCAGCAGUAGGGAAUCUUCCGCAAUGGACGAAAGUCUGACGGAGCAACGCCGCGUGAGUGACGAAGGUUUUCGGAUCGUAAAACUCUGUUGUGAGGGAAGAACAAGUACCAAGUAACUACUGGUACCUUGACGGUACCUCACCAGAAAGCCACGGCUAACUACGUGCCAGCAGCCGCGGUAAUACGUAGGUGGCAAGCGUUGUCCGGAAUUAUUGGGCGUAA
RNAcentral lists this ribosomal RNA (485 nucleotides) under uncultured Planococcus sp. RNAcentral's name for it is "bacterial SSU rRNA". It matches the Rfam family "Bacterial small subunit ribosomal RNA", at positions 91 to 563 of the family's 1533-position model. The record is from RNAcentral. Lineage: Bacteria; Bacillati; Bacillota; Bacilli; Caryophanales; Caryophanaceae.